AUGCAACGCGAAAAACCUUACCUACCCUUGACAUGUCUGGAAUGCCGAAGAGAUUUGGUAGUGCUCGCAAGAGAACCGGAACACAGGUGCUGCAUGGCUGUCGUCAGCUCGUGUCGUGAGAUGUUGGGUUAAGUCCCGCAACGAGCGCAACCCUUGUCAUUAGUUGCUACGAAAGGGCACUCUAAUGAUACUGCCGGUGACAAACCGGAGGAAGGUGGGGAUGACGUCAAGUCCUCAUGGUCCUUAUGG
This 249-nucleotide ribosomal RNA is filed under the name Achromobacter sp. Its description in RNAcentral is "partial 16S ribosomal RNA". It matches the Rfam family "Bacterial small subunit ribosomal RNA", at positions 954 to 1207 of the family's 1533-position model. The record is from RNAcentral. Lineage: Bacteria; Pseudomonadati; Pseudomonadota; Betaproteobacteria; Burkholderiales; Alcaligenaceae.